RNAcentral lists this ribosomal RNA (2100 nucleotides) under Salmonella enterica subsp. enterica serovar Typhimurium. Its description in RNAcentral is "partial 23S ribosomal RNA". It matches the Rfam family "Bacterial large subunit ribosomal RNA", at positions 171 to 2209 of the family's 2925-position model. Lineage: Bacteria; Pseudomonadati; Pseudomonadota; Gammaproteobacteria; Enterobacterales; Enterobacteriaceae. The record is from RNAcentral.
UUAAUGAGGCGAACCGGGGGAACUGAAACAUCUAAGUACCCCGAGGAAAAGAAAUCAACCGAGAUUCCCCCAGUAGCGGCGAGCGAACGGGGAGGAGCCCAGAGCCUGAAUCAGCAUGUGUGUUAGUGGAAGCGUCUGGAAAGGCGCGCGAUACAGGGUGACAGCCCCGUACACAAAAGCGCAUGUGCUGUGAGCUCGAUGAGUAGGGCGGGACACGUGGUAUCCUGUCUGAAUAUGGGGGGACCAUCCUCCAAGGCUAAAUACUCCUGACUGACCGAUAGUGAACCAGUACCGUGAGGGAAAGGCGAAAAGAACCCCGGCGAGGGGAGUGAAAAAGAACCUGAAACCGUGUACGUACAAGCAGUGGGAGCACCCUUCGGGGUGUGACUGCGUACCUUUUGUAUAAUGGGUCAGCGACUUAUAUUCUGUAGCAAGGUUAACCGUAUAGGGGAGCCGGAGGGAAACCGAGUCUUAACCGGGCGUUAAGUUGCAGGGUAUAGACCCGAAACCCGGUGAUCUAGCCAUGGGCAGGUUGAAGGUUGGGUAACACUAACUGGAGGACCGAACCGACUAAUGUUGAAAAAUUAGCGGAUGACCUGUGGCUGGGGGUGAAAGGCCAAUCAAACCGGGAGAUAGCUGGUUCUCCCCGAAAGCUAUUUAGGUAGCGCCUCGUGAAUUCAUCUCCGGGGGUAGAGCACUGUUUCGGCUAGGGGGCCAUCCCGGCUUACCAACCCGAUGCAAACUGCGAAUACCGGAGAAUGUUAUCACGGGAGACACACGGCGGGUGCUAACGUCCGUCGUGAAGAGGGAAACAACCCAGACCGCCAGCUAAGGUCCCAAAGUCAUGGUUAAGUGGGAAACGAUGUGGGAAGGCCCAGACAGCCAGGAUGUUGGCUUAGAAGCAGCCAUCAUUUAAAGAAAGCGUAAUAGCUCACUGGUCGAGUCGGCCUGCGCGGAAGAUGUAACGGGGCUAAACCAUGCACCGAAGCUGCGGCAGCGAACGUAUCACCCAAGACAACUUUACGGAGUUGACGAUUGACGGAGCGAAGCGACGUCAAAGCGUUCAUUAAAGUCGAGUUGGCUUAGGGAUACGUUCGUUGGGUAGGGGAGCGUUCUGUAAGCCUGUGAAGGUGUGUCGUGAGGCAUGCUGGAGGUAUCAGAAGUGCGAAUGCUGACAUAAGUAACGAUAAAGCGGGUGAAAAGCCCGCUCGCCGGAAGACCAAGGGUUCCUGUCCAACGUUAAUCGGGGCAGGGUGAGUCGACCCCUAAGGCGAGGCCGAAAGGCGUAGUCGAUGGGAAACGGGUUAAUAUUCCCGUACUUGGUGUUACUGCGAAGGGGGGACGGAGAAGGCUAUGUUGGCCGGGCGACGGUUGUCCCGGUUUAAGCGUGUAGGUGUGUGUUCCAGGUAAAUCCGGUUCACUUUAACACUGAGGCGUGACGACGAGGCACUACGGUGCUGAAGCAACAAAUGCCCUGCUUCCAGGAAAAGCCUCUAAGCAUCAGGUAACAUCAAAUCGUACCCCAAACCGACACAGGUGGUCAGGUAGAGAAUACCAAGGCGCUUGAGAGAACUCGGGUGAAGGAACUAGGCAAAAUGGUGCCGUAACUUCGGGAGAAGGCACGCUGACACGUAGGUGAAGUGAUUUACUCAUGGAGCUGAAGUCAGUCGAAGAUACCAGCUGGCUGCAACUGUUUAUUAAAAACACAGCACUGUGCAAACACGAAAGUGGACGUAUACGGUGUGACGCCUGCCCGGUGCCGGAAGGUUAAUUGAUGGGGUCAGCGCAAGCGAAGCUCCUGAUCGAAGCCCCGGUAAACGGCGGCCGUAACUAUAACGGUCCUAAGGUAGCGAAAUUCCUUGUCGGGUAAGUUCCGACCUGCACGAAUGGCGUAAUGAUGGCCAGGCUGUCUCCACCCGAGACUCAGUGAAAUUGAACUCGCUGUGAAGAUGCAGUGUACCCGCGGCAAGACGGAAAGACCCCGUGAACCUUUACUAUAGCUUGACACUGAACAUUGAGCCUUGAUGUGUAGGAUAGGUGGGAGGCUUUGAAGUGUGGACGCCAGUCUGCAUGGAGCCGACCUUGAAAUACCACCCUUUA